RNAcentral lists this ribosomal RNA (406 nucleotides) under uncultured bacterium. Its description in RNAcentral is "bacterial SSU rRNA". It matches the Rfam family "Bacterial small subunit ribosomal RNA", at positions 355 to 776 of the family's 1533-position model. The record is from RNAcentral.
UGAGGAAUAUUGGGCAAUGGGGGCAACCCUGACCCAGCAAUGCCGCGUGCAGGAGGACGCCCUUCGGGGUGUAAACUGCUUUUGUGGGGGAGCAGACAAGGAGCGUACCCCACGAAUCAGUCACGGCUAACUACGUGCCAGCAGCCGCGGUAAUACGUAGGUGGCGAACGUUAUCCGGAGUGACUGGGUGUAAAGGGUCCGUAGGCGGGAACCUAAGUCUGACGUGAAAGCGCCCGGCUCAACUGGGCGAGUGCGUUGGAAACUGGGCUUCUUGACUCACGCAGAGGUCGGCGGAAUUCCCGGUGUAGUGGUGGAAUGCGUAGAGAUCGGGAGGAACCUCGAAAGCGAAGGCAGCCGACUGGGCGCUGAGUGACGCUGAGGGACGAAAGCGUGGGGAGCGAACAGG